RNAcentral lists this ribosomal RNA (512 nucleotides) under uncultured bacterium. RNAcentral describes it as "bacterial SSU rRNA". It matches the Rfam family "Bacterial small subunit ribosomal RNA", at positions 19 to 518 of the family's 1533-position model. The record is from RNAcentral.
AUGGCUCAGGAUGAACGCUAGCUACGGGCUUAACACAUGCAAGUCGAGGGGCAGCAUGUUGGUGCUUGCAACCAAUGAUGGCGACCGGCGCACGGGUGAGUAACGCGUAUCCAACCUUCCCCUUAGUAGAGGAUAGCCCGGCGAAAGUCGGAUUAAUACUCUAUGUUCUUCAAUGCGGACAUCUAAGUUGAAGCAAAGAUUUAUCGCUAAGGGAUGGGGAUGCGUCUGAUUAGGUUGCAGGCGGGGUAACGGCCCACCUGGCCUACGAUCAGUAGGGGUUCUGAGAGGAAGGUCCCCCACACUGGUACUGAGACACGGACCAGACUCCUACGGGAGGCAGCAGUGAGGGAUAUUGGUCAAUGGGCGCGAGCCUGAACCAGCCAAGUAGCGUGCAGGGAACCGACUGCCCUAUGGGUUGUAAACUGCUUUUAUCAGGGAAUAAAGUGAGGCACGCGUGCCUUUUUGUAUGUACCUGAUGAAUAAGGACCGGCUAAUUCCGUGCCAGCAGCUGC